RNAcentral lists this long non-coding RNA (288 nucleotides) under Sorghum bicolor (sorghum). RNAcentral's name for it is "long non-coding RNA (SBIC_LNC000306)". Lineage: Eukaryota; Viridiplantae; Streptophyta; Magnoliopsida; Poales; Poaceae. The record is from RNAcentral.
UAUUUAUACCCUGCUCAAAGAGCUACAGCCAGACACGAUUAGAAUUCGAAUUCCAAAUUACACGGAACCCAUUUACAAAACGAUUUAAAUAAUUAAGAAAAUAACAAAACUAUCCCCCGUGACAAACUGAAACUCUUCCACAAACCAUCGGCGACUUCUGAACUCUCCCUUCGUAUCAUCGGCAGACUCCCUUGCCAUAGUCAUCGGCAGACUUCCUCAUCAUAGCCAUCGGCACAGACACAUCACCGCCUGUAGACUUAAUCACGUUCAACCUCUCCUUCAUCGGCA